AUCUGUACCCACACGAGAAACCCUCGGCAAGGGUGACCAUUUGUUUAACUUGUCAUACUAACCAGGUCACCUUGGACACAGACAAGGUAGUCAUUUAUUCAGGUGUAAACCGGGACACUCCCAGGCAAGUCUGGGCAUGGGGUCACCCUACUUCCCAGCCACAUGACAGAGCCAGCUGGAGACGGAGCCCACUGCUGCGCCUAGGGGAAAUGAGCCCCUUUGGAGUUGUUGAUGCUGGAAGGCUGUCACCAUAGCAACAAGGUCAAUGGGAACCGGCAGCCGUGCGUAGGCUUAAUUCUCACUGUAUCCCUGUCGACAGGGAUAAAGGCCCUACUUUUCUGAUUUCUUGGUUCAGCCAGAUGAAGUUUUCAUUAGAUUCAACUUCUCACAUCCAGACACCCACGUGCUGUUCCGAUCUCCAUCCCGUCAGUUUCCACAGUCCCAUUUCGGGAGGCACUGCCGAGGUUGGGAGGGCUGGGGUGCACAAGGCCCCUCUGGCUGCAGGGUCUCAGCUAACCAUGAAUGCUGGUUCUUGCUGUCCAGAUACGGGGUGCUGGGACCCCAUGUUUACUGGAGGCCUGGACUUCAUGCCGUGUCAUGCCUCCCCAGGAGCUGCUGAGCGGAGAACUUACAGCAGCCACACUGCUUCAGAUGGUGGUGAGGAGUUGGGACCCUUGGGUCAGGACAUCUACACCAUGUGGGAACAGCAUGGCCUUGGCUUCUGAAUUUGGCCUCUAGGGAAACCUUAAAGGCCCAGGACGACUGAAAAGUGGCCUCGGAUGGACUGCAGGUGCAGGGAAGGCCUCUUAGUCCAAAGAAUCAGAUGCACAAGGAGCCCCUCUCCUCCCUGGAGGCGGGCGCAACAGAGACCGUGUGCGGACAGAGGAGGCCUUAUACCACCAAUCAGUGUCAUGUUCUGAUUAAGCUGUUGACAACUCUGAUGGGCAGAGAGAUGGGGAAACAUCAGGGCAUCAAGCUGGGAAGUCUUUGAAGGAAUGUGAUUUAUGAAGCUAAUGUCUUUGGCUCCAGCAUUCAUGGCAUGCCUAUUCUGGAAGCCAUCUGAUGGCUUCUUGGCUCUCAGCACACGGUGCUUUUCCCUGAACACUGCUGGCUGGCACCUGUGCGCCGUCCAAGUCUGAUCCGCAGCUAGGCACUUAUGGGGGCUGUGUUUCCAAGCGUUGGUCCCCAGGCGGAGCCUGCCUGCAUGGCACAGUUUGGGACAGGCACACCAGUUCCUUGAGUGCUGUGACCUCUUGGUCUCCCUCAUGUGGUGUUAUGUAACUACAUUGAUUCACUGCAGGCUCUGAACAAUCGUUCACCAUUCCUUCUGGUUAAACCUUAGAAGCCAAAUCAAGUCUCCUUUUUGCCCUCUGGAGUUUAGGAGCCUGAGCCUCCUGCCCGUCCUGGAGAUGGCACCCUUGCAUGGCCCUGAUGGCUUCAGGUAGAAGCUGUGUGCGUUUGGUGAUGAAGCCCUAGGCAGAGACCCUGAGCGUUAGGGUCUGCCUGGCAGAUAUGGUUUUCCCUGGUAGCCUGUCCCGGGUGUGUUUCUGGCACACGCAAUCUCUGACACUUCUGCCAGGACACAGUCAUCUGCUUCCCGGUGCCUGGCUGGAGUCUCUCAUCGGCAAACAGGCCCUAAUUUGCCAGUGGCACAUGGUGUGUAGAACUCUUUCCAGUGACCCAGAAGACAACUAGGACUGUUCCAGAGAGGAGGAAGCAAUGUGCUCCUGCUACCCAGGCUUUGGGGCAAGGAGCCCCCUUAGACAGAACACCGAGGCUGUGGGCCAGCGGCAGAAGCAUUUGGACUCUGGCCACCCUUUCAAGUCAAGAGUCCUCCCUAGGGUCUUUCUGGAAGUGAUAACUAAGUGACAGGAAGAAGGCAGAGAUUUAGGAAGCCGACCCUCUCUGUCUUCUCCGAUUGCUGGCCCUCUCUGAAUAAAGCGGUGCUAAUUCUC
Long non-coding RNA from Mesocricetus auratus (golden hamster), 1955 nucleotides. RefSeq lists it as uncharacterized. The record is from RefSeq and is a predicted model, not a curated record. NCBI's taxonomy places the organism in Eukaryota, Metazoa, Chordata, Mammalia, Rodentia, Cricetidae. The transcript is spliced from 2 exons.